This 497-nucleotide ribosomal RNA is filed under the name uncultured bacterium. RNAcentral's name for it is "partial 16S ribosomal RNA". It matches the Rfam family "Bacterial small subunit ribosomal RNA", at positions 28 to 507 of the family's 1533-position model. The record is from RNAcentral.
GAUGAACGCUGGCGGCGUGCCUAAUACAUGCAAGUCGAGCGAACAGACGAGGAGCUUGCUCCUCUGACGUUAGCGGCGGACGGGUGAGUAACACGUGGAUAACCUACCUAUAAGACUGGGAUAACUUCGGGAAACCGGAGCUAAUACCGGAUAAUAUAUUGAACCGCAUGGUUCAAUAGUGAAAGACGGUUUUGCUGUCACUUAUAGAUGGAUCCGCGCCGCAUUAGCUAGUUGGUAAGGUAACGGCUUACCAAGGCAACGAUGCGUAGCCGACCUGAGAGGGUGAUCGGCCACACUGGAACUGAGACACGGUCCAGACUCCUACGGGAGGCCGCAGUAGGGAAUCUUCCGCAAUGGGCGGAAGCCUGACGGAGCAACGCCGAGUGAGUGAUGAAGGUCUUCGGAUCGUAAAACUCUGUUAUUAGGGAAGAACAAAUGUGUAAGUAACUAUGCACGUCUUGACGGUACCUAAUCAGAAAGCCACGGCUAACUACGUG